This 107-nucleotide non-coding RNA is filed under the name uncultured Ignatzschineria sp. RNAcentral's name for it is "SAM riboswitch (S box leader)". It matches the Rfam family "SAM riboswitch aptamer (S box leader)". From Rfam's summary of the family: The SAM riboswitch is found upstream of a number of genes which code for proteins involved in methionine or cysteine biosynthesis in Gram-positive bacteria. The SAM riboswitch acts at the level of transcription termination control. The predicted structure consists of a complex stem-loop region followed by a single stem loop terminator region. Lineage: Bacteria; Pseudomonadati; Pseudomonadota; Gammaproteobacteria; Cardiobacteriales; Ignatzschineriaceae. The record is from RNAcentral.
UCUUAUCAAGAGCGGCGGAGGGAAAGGCCCUGUGAUGCCCAGCAACCUGGUGAAAAUUAAGGUGCUAAUUCCUUCGGAUUAAUCCAUGUGGUUGCCCGAAAGAUAAG